This 1056-nucleotide long non-coding RNA is filed under the name Cricetulus griseus (Chinese hamster). RNAcentral's name for it is "lncRNA (ENSCGRG00015038218.1)". The record is from RNAcentral. Lineage: Eukaryota; Metazoa; Chordata; Mammalia; Rodentia; Cricetidae.
AUAGGGUAGCAGACAGUACAGGAAUGAGUGGGUUAGAACUGUUUGACAUAAGCAACAGAGUUCUAUGCUAAGUCAUCAUCCUAGGAAUUCUGUGUGGUUAGAAAAGGAAGAACUGAAUUGCCUGGGUCUGGAGGAAAUUGAUGCUUUGUUUGAUAUAUGUGUGAUAGAUUCUAUCAUGCUUGUAGGCUGUUCAUGAGAGUCAAUAAUUUGCUGAAAUAAGGAGCUACCCAAGAGUAAGAAGCUGACCCAAAGGGUAAGGAGCACAGAAUCUUUCUGCUAGAGCAGACUCCAGCCCAGCUCAAUGGGAUCAUGACCAAUGAAAGCCCAGUUGCUCUUAAUUUAAAGUGGAUUCUCACUGUUGAUAAUCAUACACAGCAGGCAGCUGAAUAGAAUUACAUGUAAUGUUACAUGAAAAUCCCAUCUCAGGUGUACUGUGCUCUUGGUAAGAGUGAGUGUAGUCUCACACACCAUUACUGGAAACCUUUAAGCCAUAAGCUAAAAAUAACUCUGAAAAAAAGUGUGUCAAUAUACCCAAAGGAUUUAGGAAAUACCAGCUCUGUUAGUCAGCUUCCCGUUGCUAUAAAAUAUCUACAAUGAUAAAUCUAUAAAGACAAAAAUUUGUUUCAGUUCACAGUCUGGAAGUUUCAGUCCACUACGCUGGUCCUAUGCCAAGAAAGCAUUGAUGAAGGAUGUCCCUCUGUUAUGAUAAAUCUUUCUGCCAAAAGCCGCAGAGCCCCACCGCCACAUGUGUGCUUUUAUGUCAGCCGCCCGCCCGAGUUAGGGCCCAAAUUAAUGGACAGAGAGACUUGCAUUAGGUACAACGCUGCUUGGCCAAUGACUAGGAUUUCUCAUCUGUUAGCUCAGUAUUAAUUAUCAUAAAUCUAUAUAUUUUAUAAGACUUAUCUUAUUGGAUGCCUUAUUGGAGUACCUCCUUGCUGGUGGCUCACAUCCUGCCACUGGAGAAGGUGGGGCGGCACUUCCUACUUCUCCUUGCUCAAAUAUGAGUCUCCUUGCUAUGUCACUUCCAGCCUGGAUCACCACUUCUCUACUACAUUU